GACCAAGGGUUCCAGUCCAACGUUAAUCGGGGCUGGGUGAGUCGACCCCUAAGGCGAGGCCGAAAGGCGUAGUCGAUGGGAAAAUGGUUAAUAUUCCAUUACUUCUGUGUAAUGCGAUGAGAGGACGGAGAAGGCUAAAUCAGCCUGGCGUUGGUUGUCCAGGUGAAAGGAUGUAGGCAUGUAUCUUAGGCAAAUCCGGGGUACUCUAUGCUGAGAUCUGAUAGCAAGCUGUACUUGUACAGCGAAGUGGUUGAUGCCAUGCUUCCAGGAAAAGUCUCUAAGCUUCAGUUACACAGGAAUCGUACCCGAAACCGACACAGGUGGUCAGGUCGAGUAGACCAAGGCGCUUGAGAGAACUCUGCUGAAGGAACUAGGCAAAAUGGUACCGUAACUUCGGGAGAAGGUACGCUGUUGUUGGUGAUGGAACUCGCUUCCUGAGCUGACGACAGCCGCAGAAACCAGGCCGCUGCAACUGUUUAUUAAAAACAUAGCACUCUGCAAACACGAAAGUGGACGUAUAGGGUGUGAUGCCUGCCCGGUGCUGGAAGGUUAAUUGAUGGGGUUAGCGUAAGCGAAGCUCUUGAUCGAAGCCCCAGUAAACGGCGGCCGUAACUAUAACGGUCCUAAGGUAGCGAAAUUCCUUGUCGGGUAAGUUCCGACCUGCACGAAUGGCAUAAUGAUGGCGGCGCUGUCUCCAGCAGAGGCUCAGUGAAAUCGAAAUCGCUGUGAAGAUGCAGUGUACCCGCGGCUAGACGGAAAGACCCCGUGAACCUUUACUGCAGCUUGACACUGAACUUUGACCUUACUUGUGUAGGAUAGGUGGGAGGCUUUGAAGCUGGAACGCUAGUUCCAGUGGAGCCGUCCUUGAAAUACCACCCUGGUAAUGUUGAGGUUCUAACUCUGUCCCGUGAUCCGGGACGAGGACCGUGUCUGGUGGGUAGUUUGACUGGGGCGGUCUCCUCCUAAAGAGUAACGGAGGAGUACGAAGGUGCGCUCAGCGUGGUCGGAAAUCACGCGUAGAGUAUAAAGGCAAAAGCGCGCUUAACUGCGAGACCCACAAGUCGAGCAGGUACGAAAGUAGGUCUUAGUGAUCCGGUGGUUCUGUAUGGAAGGGCCAUCGCUCAACGGAUAAAAGGUACUCUGGGGAUAACAGGCUGAUACCGCCCAAGAGUUCAUAUCGACGGCGGUGUUUGGCACCUCGAUGUCGGCUCAUCUCAUCCUGGGGCUGAAGCAGGUCCCAAGGGUAUGGCUGUUCGCCAUUUAAAGAGGUACGCGAGCUGGGUUUAGAACGUCGUGAGACAGUUCGGUCCCUAUCUACCGUGGGCGCUGGAAAUUUGAGAGGAUCUGCUCCUAGUACGAGAGGACCAGAGUGGACGAACCUCUGGUGUACCGGUUGUGACGCCAGUCGCAUCGCCGGGUAGCUAUGUUCGGAAGGGAUAACCGCUGAAAGCAUCUAAGCGGGAAGCCUACCUCAAGAUAAGAUUUCCCUAGGACUUUAUGUCCUCUAAAGAGCCGUUCGAGACUAGGACGUUGAUAGGUUGGAUGUGGAAGCAUAGUGAUAUGUGAAGCUGACCAAUACUAAUUGCUCGUGAGGCUUGACUA
This 1602-nucleotide ribosomal RNA is filed under the name Acinetobacter baumannii 45002_5. RNAcentral's name for it is "bacterial LSU rRNA". It matches the Rfam family "Bacterial large subunit ribosomal RNA", at positions 1343 to 2925 of the family's 2925-position model. The record is from RNAcentral. Lineage: Bacteria; Pseudomonadati; Pseudomonadota; Gammaproteobacteria; Moraxellales; Moraxellaceae.